GAUGAACGCUGGCGGCGUGCCUAAUACGUGCAAGUCGAGCGAACAGACGAGGAGCUUGCUCCUCUGACGUUAGCGGCGGACGGGUGAGUAACACGUGGAUAACCUACCUAUAAGACUGGGAUAACUUCGGGAAACCGGAGCUAAUACCGGAUAAUAUAUUGAACCGCAUGGUUCAAUAGUGAAAGACGGUUUUGCUGUCACUUAUAGAUGGAUCCGCGCCGCAUUAGCUAGUUGGUAAGGUAACGGCUUACCAAGGCAACGAUGCGUAGCCGACCUGAGAGGGUGAUCGGCCACACUGGAACUGAGACACGGUCCAGACUCCUACGGGAGGCAGCAGUAGGGAAUCUUCCGCAAUGGGCGAAAGCCUGACGGAGCAACGCCGCGUGAGUGAUGAAGGUCUUCGGAUCGUAAAACUCUGUUAUUAGGGAAGAACAAAUGUGUAAGUAACUAUGCACGUCUUGACGGUACCUAAUCAGAAAGCCACGGCUAACUACGCG
RNAcentral lists this ribosomal RNA (497 nucleotides) under uncultured bacterium. RNAcentral's name for it is "partial 16S ribosomal RNA". It matches the Rfam family "Bacterial small subunit ribosomal RNA", at positions 28 to 507 of the family's 1533-position model. The record is from RNAcentral.